UUUUCCUCUUCAAUUAAUGACUGGUUUUCUACUUUCAUGCAGGACUCCCCUAUCUUUAAUUUUUUCAACAAUCUUUCCCCAAUUAAGUCCAUGCUCAUCACUCAAACAACCAAUCCUCUUAGUCUUUGAAUCGCUUCCAUCUGUUUUCACUCCCCCCACCUUAGUUCACUGAAGGAAUAGAGAUUUCUCAGGAGUUAUAUUACCAUUGGGUGGAUAUUAACGACAUGAGAUACUCAAGAAGAAGAUCCUGAAGCAUACGAUGCAACAGCUAUAAAAUUUCGAGGGGUUAAUGCAGUAACCAACUUCGUUAGCUCAAAAUAUGACGUACAAAGUAUUAUGGCAACCAGUACCCUCUUUCAAGGGAAAUGGCUUAAAAAAACAAACACAUGGAUUCAAGCAACAAGAUAUCA
This is a long non-coding RNA of Olea europaea var. sylvestris, 410 nucleotides long. RefSeq lists it as uncharacterized. The record is from RefSeq and is a predicted model, not a curated record. The transcript is spliced from 3 exons. Lineage: Eukaryota; Viridiplantae; Streptophyta; Magnoliopsida; Lamiales; Oleaceae.